RNAcentral lists this ribosomal RNA (1044 nucleotides) under Streptomyces sp. RNAcentral describes it as "bacterial SSU rRNA". It matches the Rfam family "Bacterial small subunit ribosomal RNA", at positions 415 to 1460 of the family's 1533-position model. Lineage: Bacteria; Bacillati; Actinomycetota; Actinomycetes; Kitasatosporales; Streptomycetaceae. The record is from RNAcentral.
CCUUCCGGUUGUAAACCUCUUUCAGCAGGGAAGAAGCGAAAGUGACGGUACCUGCAGAAGAAGGCGCCGGUAUCUACGUGCAAGCAGCCGCGGUAAUACGUAAGGCGCAAGCGUUGUCCGGAAUUAUUGGGCGUAAAGAGCUCGUAGGCGGCUUGUCACGUCGGAUGUGAAAGCCCGAGGCUUAACCUCCGGUCUGCAUUCGAUACGGGCUAGCUAGAGUGUGGUAGGGGAGAUCGGAAUUCCUGGUGUAGCGGUGAAAUGCGCAGAUAUCAGGAGGAACACCGGUGGCGAAGGCGGAUCUCUGGGCCAUUACUGACGCUGAGGAGCGAAAGCGUGGGGAGCGAACAGGAUUAGAUACCCUGGUAGUCCACGCCGUAAACGUUGGGAACUAGGUGUUGGCGACAUUCCACGUCGUCGGUGCCGCAGCUAACGCAUUAAGUUCCCCGCCUGGGGAGUACGGCCGCAAGGCUAAAACUCAAAGGAAUUGACGGGGGCCCGCACAAGCAGCGGAGCAUGUGGCUUAAUUCGACGCAACGCGAAGAACCUUACCAAGGCUUGACAUAUACCGGAAAGCAUUAGAGAUAGUGCCCCCCUUGUGGUCGGUAUACAGGUGGUGCAUGGCUGUCGUCAGCUCGUGUCGUGAGAAGUUGGGUUAAGUCCCGCAACGAGCGCAACCCUUGUCCUGUGUUGCCAGCAUGCCCUUCGGGGUGAUGGGGACUCACAGGAGACCGCCGGGGUCAACUCGGAGGAAGGUGGGGACGACGUCAAGUCAUCAUGCCCCUUAUGUCUUGGGCUGCACACGUGCUACAAUGGCCGGUACAAUGAGCUGCGAUACCGUGAGGUGGAGCGAAUCUCAAAAAGCCGGUCUCAGUUCGGAUUGGGGUCUGCAACUCGACCCCAUGAAGUCGGAGUUGCUAGUAAUCGCAGAUCAGCAUUGCUGCGGUGAAUACGUUCCCGGGCCUUGUACACACCGCCCGUCACGUCACGAAAGUCGGUAACACCCGAAGCCGGUGGCCCAACCCCUUGUGGGGGGGAGCUAUCGAA